Molecule: ribosomal RNA, 498 nt
Filed under: Triticum aestivum (bread wheat)
Lineage: Eukaryota; Viridiplantae; Streptophyta; Magnoliopsida; Poales; Poaceae
Description: partial small subunit ribosomal RNA
Source: RNAcentral
AUGGCGCUGCUGGAGAACUUCGACGGCGGCCAUCGGGCCAUCGUCAUCGAAGACGUCCCGCCGGGCACCGGGAUCGCAGACCUCGUCGGCGCCUUCUCUCCUUUCGACACGAUCCAGUUCGCCUCCAUGGGACCUCCGGCCGUCGUGGGCUUCGAGAGCGAGGAGGCCGCGGCGCACGCGCUGCUUGUGGCGUCCAUGAAGAGCGUCAGCCUCCUCGGCGUCUACAGGGAGAAGGCGACCUGUCCGAUCGAGGCCGCUGCGAUGCCGCCAUCAGACGUGGCUGCGGCGCCAGUGAGAGCGACCAGUACGACGACCGAGACCAAGACCAGCCAGAACAUAGACCAGGAGGCUACAAUUAGGCCUUGUACUGGCCGGACGACAACUACUACGACGCCUGGUUUGCCGGCUACCAGGCUGGAGCCAAGGAUUCUCCGAUUGGUUGAAUUUACAGAACCUCAAAGCUGCAUCCAGGAGCUGGUGAUUUUUUUUAUACGUUAA